This 467-nucleotide ribosomal RNA is filed under the name uncultured bacterium. RNAcentral describes it as "partial 16S ribosomal RNA". It matches the Rfam family "Bacterial small subunit ribosomal RNA", at positions 28 to 507 of the family's 1533-position model. The record is from RNAcentral.
GACGAACGCUGGCGGCGUGCUUAACACAUGCAAGUCGAACGAUGAAGCCCAGCUUGCUGGGUGGAAGAGUGGCGAACGGGUGAGUAACACGUGAGUAACCUGCCCUGAACUCUGGGAUAAGCACUGGAAACGGUGUCUAAUACUGGAUACGACCUAUCACCGCAUGGUGUGUGGGUGGAAAGAUUUAUCGGUUCUGGAUGGACUCGCGGCCUAUCAGCUAGAUGGUGAGGUAAUGGCUCACCAUGGCGACGACGGGUAGCCGGCCUGAGAGGGUGACCGGCCACACUGGGACUGAGACACGGCCCAGACUCCUACGGGAGGCAGCAGUGGGGAAUAUUGCACAAUGGGCGCAAGCCUGAUGCAGCAACGCCGCGUGAGGGAUGACGGCCUUCGGGUUGUAAACCUCCUUUAGUAGGGAAGAAGCGAAAGUGACGGUACCUGCAGAAAAAGCACCGGCUAACUACGUG